AAAUAGGAAGCAAUUAUGCAUUUAGUUUCGACCUAAAAGAGAAUAUUUACCAAUAUUCCUAUUUU
RNAcentral lists this transfer RNA (65 nucleotides) under Nanhuaphasma hamicercum. RNAcentral's name for it is "tRNA-Arg". The record is from RNAcentral. Lineage: Eukaryota; Metazoa; Arthropoda; Insecta; Phasmatodea; Aschiphasmatidae.